Molecule: long non-coding RNA, 159 nt
Organism: Sebastes umbrosus (honeycomb rockfish)
Lineage: Eukaryota; Metazoa; Chordata; Actinopteri; Perciformes; Sebastidae
Exons: 3
Source: RefSeq, a predicted model, not a curated record
GCUGCCGUGCAGUCUACGGCCGUUUGAUUCUGCAGCGAAGUGGGCCAAACUAAAAGUUGGGAAAAGUUUCACUUUUAGCGGCAAAGUGCAGCCAGAGAGAACCUGCAGCCAAUCAGUAAACAGAUCCUGUGACUCCUGUGACAUGAAACACAUCAACAC